CCAUUUUUUUUUUCCAGAGCUGAGGACCGAACCCAGGGCCUUGUGUGCACUGGGUGGGCACCCUUCCGUUGGGCUAAACCCCCAGCCCCAUGCCCUGUUCUCCCUCA
This is a long non-coding RNA of Dipodomys spectabilis (banner-tailed kangaroo rat), 107 nucleotides long. RefSeq lists it as uncharacterized. The record is from RefSeq and is a predicted model, not a curated record. NCBI's taxonomy places the organism in Eukaryota, Metazoa, Chordata, Mammalia, Rodentia, Heteromyidae. The transcript is spliced from 3 exons.